GUCCUUCUGUGGUUCGUAAGCAUGAAGAUUGGGUUUUUACACUAUUGUGUGAGAUGUGCCUCCCUCAAACUUUAUCACAAUGUCAGCACAUUACCCCCUAAUGUGAAA
Balaenoptera musculus (blue whale) is the source of this 108-nucleotide small nucleolar RNA. The record is from Ensembl. Lineage: Eukaryota; Metazoa; Chordata; Mammalia; Artiodactyla; Balaenopteridae.